GCAUUCCUUUUCAGUUGUCUGCCAAGGCUUGUUUGUCUUGGUGGAYUGUGGGUUUCCUGUGUUGCCUACCUAAGCAAUGGUAUUGCCCUGGUUGAUCCUAGUCCCUUUUCUUCUAGUGUCAUACAUAUGACACUGGAUGAACCAUGAAGUGGUUUCUUUGAUCCACCUUGUCAAUGAAUGUGUUGAUUUUGUGGCUCUUUGAGCAUCGCUUGGUCUCCUAGAUACAGAACAUGAUGUGAGCAUGGUGUCUCAUGGGCCUUUGUUUCCAUUUCAUUCAGCUAGUUUGUUUCUCUUACAAUGACUGCCUCGCCCGCCUAGGCUCGUACCUGCGGGGUGGUAUGUCAUAGGGAAAUUCUCUUCCUGUUUGAUGUGGGUAUGAUGUCUUAGGUGAUCCCUCUUUUGCUCUCAUUUAGCGUUCGCGCUUCUCUUCAAAUGACGGCCUCUCCUGCCAGGGCUUGUACCAGCGUGGGAGGCCAUGUCAAAGAGGAAUGC
RNAcentral lists this unclassified non-coding RNA (492 nucleotides) under Hemizonia perennis (perennial spikeweed). RNAcentral describes it as "partial external transcribed spacer". The record is from RNAcentral. Lineage: Eukaryota; Viridiplantae; Streptophyta; Magnoliopsida; Asterales; Asteraceae.